GGGGGUAUAGCUCAGUGGUAGAGCGCUCCCUUAGCAUGGGAGAGGACUGGGGUUCAAUUCCCCAUACCUCCA
Molecule: non-coding RNA, 72 nt
Organism: Caenorhabditis japonica
Lineage: Eukaryota; Metazoa; Nematoda; Chromadorea; Rhabditida; Rhabditidae
Source: Rfam